CCGGCUUGUCCACCGCCUCCGCCACAUUUCUCUCUAAAACCUGGGACCGAUCCGGAGGCACGCUGCUCCCCGCCUCCCCUGCGCCCACGGGUUCAGGUCCUGGGCGCGGGGUCUGGGCGGGUGUCCUGCGACCCUGGGGAGGGGGACGGAGGGUUCCCCAGAGCCCCCCAACUGAGAUCCCGGUGCGCUUCAAAGGCGCCCACACGCACAAACACCCUCAUCCUUAAACUUUGGGGACAACUUUUUAGGACCUGGGCAAACUAAGAGGGGGAGAGAAGCCAAAGGCCAGUGUGGGCUUCGACCUAAGGUAGCCAUUUAGCUUUUCCACUGUCCUUCCUGCAAAGACUGCGGCCGCCAGUUCUCUGCCCCGGGCUCAAGUUCCUGGUGGAGCCCGAAAGCCUUCGAACUUCGGGGACAGCGAAUAAAGAUCCCCACGGGUAUGGGGCGUGCGCCCGCGUCCUAGCGCCCGCAGGGGUAUGGGCGCGGCGGCCACCUCUCGGAAUCCGCGGCCCCGGGGGUCCCCACGACGCCAGCGCCGCCCACAGGCCCGGUGGAGAGCGCCUGUGCCCGCCUGGCUGGGGACAGGAAGACCAACUCCACACCAAGUAGGCUGUCCCCUCCACCUGCGGAGAGUGGGACGCCACAGCGGUGUGAUCAGGGUUGAAGGCUGGGCUCUGGCGUUCGUGACUUUGAGCAAUUCCAUGACCUCUCAGAGCCUUCACUUCCCGAGGGCCAUAAAUGACAGAGUUCUUGGGAGAAGACUUGUAAAGUGAGUAUUUACAAAGCGGCAAAUAACUUCAGAAACUCAUGGUAGCAGUAAUAUUGGGGAAGAGGACGUUUUCGCGGUAGAUGGUGACAAUAAUUCAUCUCCUUUCUAGAACUUAAAAAAUAUAACCAAUCAUUUAUUUUUAUUUUAUUAUUUUUAUUUGAUUGAUUGAUUGAUUUGCACUCGGAAUUGAAUCCGAGGGCACUUACCACUGAUCCACAUCCCCAGCCCUUUUUAUUUCUUAUUUUGAGACUGGGUCUCACGAAGUUGUGGAGGCUAGCCUUGAACUUGCGAUCCUCCUUCCCCAGCCUCUGGAAUAAAUGGAAUUAAAGGUAUGAACCCUGCCUGGCCUUAUCAUCUGUUGUCUAUAUCCAUCUGUUG
This 1147-nucleotide long non-coding RNA is filed under the name Marmota monax (woodchuck). Lineage: Eukaryota; Metazoa; Chordata; Mammalia; Rodentia; Sciuridae. The record is from RNAcentral.